This 672-nucleotide ribosomal RNA is filed under the name Triticum aestivum (bread wheat). RNAcentral describes it as "partial small subunit ribosomal RNA". Lineage: Eukaryota; Viridiplantae; Streptophyta; Magnoliopsida; Poales; Poaceae. The record is from RNAcentral.
AUGCUUAAAAUUGAUCUUGCUAAGGCUUUCGAUCGUUUAGAAUGGAGCUUCAUUGUUUCAGCUCUUGCAUGUAAAGGAUUGCAUGCUCAUUUCAUAAAUUUGAUUUAUGAGUGCAUUUCUUCUCCUACUUUUUCUGUGGUCAUUAAUGCUAGGCCUUCUCAUAAAUUCAGAAGUUCUAGGGGUAUUCGUCAAGGUUGUCCUAUGUCCCCUUAUUUGUUUGUUAUUGCCAUUAAUGAAUUAUCUCUUGCUCUUAAUGAAGCUUUAGCUGCUCAUAGUCUGCAGGGGAUUUUGCUUGGACCAAAUUUCCCCCCGAUUCACUCUCUUUUGUUUGCAGAUGAUUUGUUGGUAUGUGGUCAAGCUACUGUUCAGGAAGCUAAUGCUAUAGCCAACAUUAUCAAUCAUUUUUGUUCCGUGUCAGGUCAAACUCCAAAUUGGGUAAAGUCUGCUAUUAUGUUUAGUGCUCAUGUUAGUCAGGCUGUUAUUCAAGAUAUUAAGCAGAUUUUUCCUGUUUCUAACAUGGAUGCUAAUUUUUCUCAUCUUGGUCAUCCUCUUAUUCUUCCUGCUAAUAAUAGAUCUCUGGCUUACAAUUUUGUUUUGGAUAAAUUCAUGAACAAGCUUCCUACUUAUAAGGCCAACUUGCUCUCUCAUGCAGCUAGGCUUGAAUUGAUUUGA